Molecule: ribosomal RNA, 303 nt
Filed under: uncultured bacterium
Lineage: Bacteria
Description: partial 16S ribosomal RNA
Rfam family: Bacterial small subunit ribosomal RNA
Source: RNAcentral
AGCAGUCGCCGCGGGAAUACCGAGGGUGCAAACGUUGUUCGGAAUUACUGGGCGUAAAGCGAGUGUAGGCGGUCUCAAAAGUCAGGUGUGAAAGCCCUGGGCUCAGCCCAGGAAGUGCACUUGAAACUGCGAGGCUAGAGUACUGGAGAGGUUGGUGGAAUUCUCGGUGUAGAGGUGAAAUUCGUAGAUAUCGAGAGGAACACCGGUGGCGAAGGCGGCCAACUGGACAGAUACUGACGCUGAGGUGCGAAAGCGUGGGGAGCAAACAGGAUUAGAUACCCCAGUAGUCCCUGUCUCUUAUAC